UGUAGUUGGCAAUAGUGUGCAAUUUUUGGUGAUUCUGAGACAUUUUUGAGUAAUAACAUAAACGCUCAUAUUCAAAAUAUGUAUUCCAAACAAAUAUAAUCUUUCUUUAAUUUGUUUUCAAUAUUUAUGGUUUAAACUAAAAUCAUAUAAAUUAUUAGAACGUGCAUAUUGUAUUCACAACCACAUCUAUUGUGAAUGGGUUUGUUUACAGGCGUAAAAAGACCGGGAAUUGUUGCAGCUAACUUCAUGUUAAAUAGUAGCUUCAUUAAAAAGCUGUAUCAAAACUUUAUUUUAAAAUUAAAUUGAUAUAUAAUUGAUAGAAAUUAGCCGACAUGGAGUUACGGCCUUUUAAAAUCCUUCUUCUGGCAGAGAAUACAUUGAUUUACACAAGUAACAUUGAAGAACGUUUAGCCGACGUUUGCAAUUGGGUUGAAUAUGAUGUGCACUGAUUAGGAAAAGUAAAAGAAUAAAUGGUGCUCAAUAGAAAGGCGAACAACAUCCAAUUCUAGAUUGAUGCUUGUUAGAAAUCAAUUUAAGUAGAUACCAUAAAAGAAUAUUUAAUACAGCAAAAGGGUUUAUGAAAACCUGCGGCAGUUAAACAAAUUUUAAAGAAAAUAGUUGUCAAGUAAUAUAUUCAGAAAUCAUAAAUCAUUUCAAAUGCUUACCGAGUAGCGACAUAUUGUGAAAAAGUCCAGCUUCAAAAGGUUAUUAGCUACUCUGGUGUUGAUUUCAGCUUUAUCAUGCUUAAGAUUUUUAUAUUUUUUUCGUUUCAGCACAGAAAAAGCUAGAUUUUGUUAAAAAAUUUAAAAAAUGCGACUUUAAGUAUUAAAAAUAAUAUUAAUAAGAUAAAUGAUAAGCAAAACAAGAUUAUUUUCAAGUAUUUUAAGCAAUAUUGAUGAAUUUAUUGGAUCUAAUACCUACAAAAUUUCCAAAAAGAA
This is a long non-coding RNA of Zeugodacus cucurbitae (melon fly), 938 nucleotides long. RefSeq lists it as uncharacterized. The record is from RefSeq and is a predicted model, not a curated record. The transcript has 2 exons. Lineage: Eukaryota; Metazoa; Arthropoda; Insecta; Diptera; Tephritidae.